This 253-nucleotide ribosomal RNA is filed under the name uncultured bacterium. RNAcentral describes it as "partial 16S ribosomal RNA". It matches the Rfam family "Bacterial small subunit ribosomal RNA", at positions 524 to 776 of the family's 1533-position model. The record is from RNAcentral.
UACGUAGGAGGCAAGCGUUGUCCGGAAUUACUGGGCGUAAAGCGCGUGUAGGUGGUGGGACAAGUCUGCUGUGAAAGCGCCUGGCUUAACCGGGCGAGGUCGGCGGAAACUGUCCGACUAGAGGACGGUAGAGGGGGGUGGAAUUCCCGGUGUAGUGGUGAAAUGCGUAGAGAUCGGGAGGAACACCUGUGGCGAAGGCGGCCCCCUGGGCCGGCCCUGACACUGAGACGCGAAAGCGUGGGUAGCAAACAGG